CCCUUAGAGUUUGAUCCUGGCUCAGGAUGAACGCUGGCGGCGUGCUUAACACAUGCAAGUCGAGCGAAGCGAUUUAAAUGAGACUUCGGUGGAUUUUAAAUUGACUGAGCGGCGGACGGGUGAGUAACGCGUGGAUAACCUGCCUCGCACAGGGGGAUAACAGUUAGAAAUGACUGCUAAUACCGCAUAAGCGCACGGUACUGCAUGGUACAGUGUGAAAAACUCCGGUGGUGUGAGAUGGAUCCGCGUCUGAUUAGGUAGUUGGUGAGGUAACGGCCCACCAAGCCGACGAUCAGUAGCCGACCUGAGAGGGUGACCGGCCACAUUGGGACUGAGACACGGCCCAAACUCCUACGGGAGGCAGCAGUGGGGAAUAUUGCACAAUGGGCGAAAGCCUGAUGCAGCAACGCCGCGUGAGUGAAGAAGUAUCUCGGUAUGUAAA
This 442-nucleotide ribosomal RNA is filed under the name uncultured bacterium. Its description in RNAcentral is "bacterial SSU rRNA". It matches the Rfam family "Bacterial small subunit ribosomal RNA", at positions 1 to 429 of the family's 1533-position model. The record is from RNAcentral.